RNAcentral lists this ribosomal RNA (425 nucleotides) under uncultured bacterium. Its description in RNAcentral is "partial 16S ribosomal RNA". It matches the Rfam family "Bacterial small subunit ribosomal RNA", at positions 354 to 796 of the family's 1533-position model. The record is from RNAcentral.
GUGGGGAAUAUUGGACAAUGGGCGCAAGCCUGAUCCAGCCAUGCCGCGUGAGUGAUGAAGGCCCUAGGGUUGUAAAGCUCUUUCACCGGUGAAGAUAAUGACGGUAACCGGAGAAGAAGCCCCGGCUAACUUCGUGCCAGCAGCCGCGGUAAUACGAAGGGGGCUAGCGUUGUUCGGAAUUACUGGGCGUAAAGCGCACGUAGGCGGAUAUUUAAGUUAGGGGUGAAAUCCCAGGGCUCAACCCUGGAACUGCCUCUAAUACUGGGUAUCUCGAGUCCGAGAGAGGUGAGUGGAAUUCCGAGUGUAGAGGUGAAAUUCGUAGAUAUUCGGAGGAACACCAGUGGCGAAGGCGGCUCACUGGCUCGGUACUGACGCUGAGGUGCGAAAGCGUGGGGAGCAAACAGGAUUAGAUACCCUUGUAGUCC